RNAcentral lists this long non-coding RNA (264 nucleotides) under Lathyrus oleraceus (garden pea). Its description in RNAcentral is "Pisum sativum (pea) long non-coding RNA (PSAT_LNC002139)". Lineage: Eukaryota; Viridiplantae; Streptophyta; Magnoliopsida; Fabales; Fabaceae. The record is from RNAcentral.
UUUUUUUAAUUCUGAUUUUAUUUUCUAUUUCAUUUUUAAAUUCCAUUUCAUUUUCUAAAAUCCAUAUCUCUUUUAUUAUUGGUCCAAAAAUUAUGGGACCAAUUGCAUUAUUUCUCUUUUAAUUUCUAGUUUCUAAAAAUGAUUUUUAAUAUUUUUUAUUUUAUCAUUUGCUAUUUUUUAAUAAUUUUCUCUUUUCUGGUUAUUUUUAAUUCAUUUUAAAUAGUUUUUGAUAUUCAGAAAAUACAAAAAUAUUUUCUCAACCUC